RNAcentral lists this long non-coding RNA (239 nucleotides) under Sorghum bicolor (sorghum). RNAcentral's name for it is "long non-coding RNA (SBIC_LNC003090)". Lineage: Eukaryota; Viridiplantae; Streptophyta; Magnoliopsida; Poales; Poaceae. The record is from RNAcentral.
ACAGUAGAAUUAGGGAUACCUCGGUAUCCACUUAAAAAAAAGAAGAGAGAAGAAAAAGAAAUGAUAGCCCAUGGUCCCUCUAAUAAGCAAUAUGCCAGCAAGAGUUGACAAAGAUUUUAAUUUCCAAAGUCUUUGAUCUAAGAGUAUGACAUUCCCCUCCUCGGAUCCCGUUUUGAUCAGGCAAUAAAUGCAAAGUAAGUAUGCUUGAGAAUUUUUUUUUUGAAAAUUAAAACAGCCUC